Molecule: ribosomal RNA, 194 nt
Filed under: uncultured Comamonas sp.
Lineage: Bacteria; Pseudomonadati; Pseudomonadota; Betaproteobacteria; Burkholderiales; Comamonadaceae
Description: partial 16S ribosomal RNA
Rfam family: Bacterial small subunit ribosomal RNA
Source: RNAcentral
CCUACGGAGGCAGCAGUAAGGAAUAUUGGACAAUGGACGCAAGCCUGAUCCAGCCAUGCCGCGUGCAGGAUGAAGGCCCUCGGGUUGUAAACUGCUUUUGUACGGAACGAAAAGCCUCUUUCUAAUAAAGAGGGGUGAUGACGGUACCGUAAGAAUAAGCACCGGCUAACUACGUGCCAGCAGCCGCGGUAAUA